RNAcentral lists this ribosomal RNA (449 nucleotides) under uncultured bacterium. RNAcentral describes it as "SSU rRNA". It matches the Rfam family "Bacterial small subunit ribosomal RNA", at positions 26 to 518 of the family's 1533-position model. The record is from RNAcentral.
AGAGCGAACGCUGGCGGCAGGCCUAACACAUGCAAGUCGAGCGCCCGUAGCAAUACGGGAGCGGCAGACGGGAUAGUAACACGUGGGAACGCGCCCUUCGGUUCGGAAUAACUCAGGGAAACUUGAGCUAAUACCGGAUACGCCCUUACGGGGAAAGAUUUAUUGCCGAAGGAACGGCCCGCGUCCGAUUAGCUAGUUGGUGAGGUAAUGGCUCACCAAGGCGACGAUCGGUAGCUGGUCUGAGAGGAUGACCAGCAUCACUGGGACUGAGACACGGCCCAGACUCCUACGGGAGGCAGCAGUGGGGAAUAUUGGACAAUGGGCGCAAGCCUGAUCCAGCCAUGCCGCGUGGAUGAUGAAGACCUUAGGGUUGUAAAGUCCUUUUAACGGGGAAGUAUAAUGACGGUACCCGUAGAAUAAGCCCCGGCUAACUUCGUGCCAGCAGCCGC